This 87-nucleotide non-coding RNA is filed under the name Pseudomonas tolaasii NCPPB 2192. Lineage: Bacteria; Pseudomonadati; Pseudomonadota; Gammaproteobacteria; Pseudomonadales; Pseudomonadaceae. The record is from RNAcentral.
CUGGGAGCCGGGCUUGCCCGCGAUGCAGGCAACGCGGUGUGUCAGCGGUAUCGCGCUGAUACUAUCGCGGGCAAGCCCGGCUCCCAC